Molecule: ribosomal RNA, 504 nt
Filed under: Aspergillus chevalieri
Lineage: Eukaryota; Fungi; Ascomycota; Eurotiomycetes; Eurotiales; Aspergillaceae
Description: eukaryotic LSU rRNA
Rfam family: 5.8S ribosomal RNA (bases 171-324)
Source: RNAcentral
UAGGGUGAACCUGCGGAAGGAUCAUUACCGAGUGCGGGCCCUCUGGGUCCAACCUCCCAUCCGUGUCUAUCUGUACCCUGUUGCUUCGGCGUGGCCACGGCCCGCCGGAGACUAACAUUUGAACGCUGUCUGAAGUUUGCAGUCUGAGUUUUUAGUUAAACAAUCGUUAAAACUUUCAACAACGGAUCUCUUGGUUCCGGCAUCGAUGAAGAACGCAGCGAAAUGCGAUAAUUAAUGUGAAUUGCAGAAUUCAGUGAAUCAUCGAGUCUUUGAACGCACAUUGCGCCCCCUGGUAUUCCGGGGGGCAUGCCUGUCCGAGCGUCAUUGCUGCCCUCAAGCACGGCUUGUGUGUUGGGCUUCCGUCCCUGGCAACGGGGACGGGCCCAAAAGGCAGUGGCGGCACCAUGUCUGGUCCUCGAGCGUAUGGGGCUUUGUCACCCGCUCCCGUAGGUCCAGCUGGCAGCUAGCCUCGCAACCAAUCUUUUUAACCAGGUUGACCUCGGA